UACGGAGGAUGCAAGCGUUAUCCGGAUUUAUUGGGUUUAAAGGGUGCGUAGGCGGCCUGUUAAGUCAGAGGUGAAAGGUUGCGGCUUAACCGCAGAAUUGCCUUUGAUACUGGCGGGCUUGAAUGAAGUUGAGGUAGGCGGAAUGUGGCAAGUAGCGGUGAAAUGCAUAGAGAUGCCACAGAACACCGAUUGCGAAGGCAGCUUACUAAACUUUGAUUGACGCUGAGGCACGAAAGCGUGGGGAUCAAACAGG
RNAcentral lists this unclassified non-coding RNA (253 nucleotides) under uncultured Sphingobacteriaceae bacterium. RNAcentral's name for it is "contains 16S-23S intergenic spacer region". It matches the Rfam family "Bacterial small subunit ribosomal RNA", at positions 524 to 776 of the family's 1533-position model. The record is from RNAcentral. Lineage: Bacteria; Pseudomonadati; Bacteroidota; Sphingobacteriia; Sphingobacteriales; Sphingobacteriaceae.